This 14000-nucleotide long non-coding RNA is filed under the name Prunus persica (peach). RNAcentral describes it as "long non-coding RNA (PPER_LNC006857)". The record is from RNAcentral. Lineage: Eukaryota; Viridiplantae; Streptophyta; Magnoliopsida; Rosales; Rosaceae.
ACAAAUGAGACAAGAACACAUGUACAAAAUAAUAUUGUAUUAAUGAAAUUUAGAGUUACAAUCUCUGUAUUGAAUCCUCUGAUUUGAUCUCCAAAGUGUGUAAAGAAAAUAUGUGUUUGAUACAAGGGUCGUAGAGACUUGAUCUUGAUCAAACGGGUAGCAUGAAGCUUGUUUAGUGUUUGGAAUUUUUCUACGGUGAAGGAACCGGCACGUAUUUGUUGUGCUUGGUGGCUCUUCCAAAGUAGGGUGAAGAAUGCAGAGAGUUUUCUGUUUCUUCUGAGUGCUAGGUUUUUUCUGACCCCUUCUUUCGUCUUGAGGCCUCCUAUUUAUAGGCUCUUGUAGGAUGCUUGACCUAAAUAACUUUCCCUAUUUAAAAUCUUGUUUUGUGGGAUUUUGAUUUGAUUUAAAUCAAUUCCCAUAAUCUAGCAAUUUAACCAGAUUGUCUUCAAUUGAUUGACCUGAUUAAUAUUUGAUUUAAAUCAAAGUCAACCACAGAAGAUUCUUUUCUUUAAUCUUGUCUUCAUCUUGAACCGUUUGAUGCACUCCGUUGGAUGUCGCCAUGUGUUAUUUUUUGAUAACUAAUCAGAUUUUGAUGAGUCACACGCCACGUGGACGAAUUACGGGGCUCACGAUUUAAUCCACCGAACCCUAAUUAUUUUCUUGUCCAAUAGAAUUUAUUGCACCAAAAUUUCUUUGUCUACAAAUUGCCCUCACUUCAUGAUGCAUUGUAGACAUGUGCUUUGUCACAUGUAGGAGGUACAGCUUGAAGUGUUACUUCUUCAUGUCUUUCCAAUAAUUUGGAUUGCUUCCAACGUGGAGCUUUGAAAGUUACUCUUUUUUUUUUUUGGAGAAUAAUAUGAAACUUAAUAAUAUCCAAUGAACCCUAUUUCCAACGUUGGCUUUUUAUUUCCCACGUUGGUUUCCCCCCCCCUUUUUUUUUUUUUGGGUUGAUAUUAUUAAGCUUAAUAAUAUAUAAUAUUGGUAAGAUCUUGUGAAGCAAGAUACAAAAUCCAAUAUUUUCCUAAACUAGGAACAAGAAACCCUAGCACCAUUAGGAGCUUUGAUGGCUUUUGGCUUCUUUAAAUUGCGCUGUACACAUGGGUAUUUAGAUUAACUAAAUAGAUCAACAAGAACUUCUCUUGUCAGCAAGAAGGUCCACGAAUCUGAGGCUCGCACCAUUUUGAAUUUUCAAUAACCAAUGUGGUGAGACUUGGCAUUUUUGAUUCAUCUCUCAUAUAUGUAUGUGCUUGCUUGCGGCUGUUUGGAGGAAAAGAAGAAACCUGACGUUUCUUUUCUUUUUUGUUUUGUGUGUUUUUUUUAUUUGCACAGCCACAAGAAUUCGCCUCUUGGUCUAUGAAGAAACUAGUUGGUAAGAUUGAAACCAUUCUUUGCUUCAUCCUGUUCUUGCAUCAGCUCUUUUUUUUUCUUUUUUUUUUUGGUUGUUGUGGAAGCAAGAUUGGAAGGUGGAAGGGUUGGCCUGCAUGUGUUGAGCUUGAAGUUGAGGUAGGGAGGCGCUGAGCUCGAAGGGAGGCAUGGGGGCGUCAGGCUUAGUGAGGUGGCCCUGAGCUAUGGUUGGAAGGCGCUGGGCCUUGUGUGUGAAGCAGGCUUGUGCUAGGAGAGGAAGGGCUGGGUCUUGGUGUGACGUGGCACAUGCCUGGGCUAGUGCUGGAGGCAGGCGCGACAUGGGCUCGAAAGGUGGCGCUGGGCCUUGUGCUGGAGCUGGAGGCGCUGGCCUUGGUGUGCGAUAUAGGCUCGAGCUAGGAGAGGAGCUGGGCCUUGGUGUGCGACGUGGGCUGCGCAGGAAGAGAAGCUGGGCUGCAUGCUGGUUGGAGCUGGCGUUGGGCUUGCGCUGAAGCAUCUGCUGGGCCUUCAUCCUGGCUGGGUUGGAAAAGUGGGCAUACUGGGCUGGCCCCAAUUCAGCUCUUUUUUUUUUGCUGCUACACAUCUAUUACUCUUUCAAUUUUUUAUUUUUUUAAAAUGUAUUUUAUAUGAUGAUAUUUAUACAUAUAUAUAUAUAUAUAUAUUUUACAAUAGGUACUUUGAAAGAAAGUGAAGAACGUGGCCAUCCUAUACCGUUUGGGUUUGAUCCAUCUCUCCGACUUGGUGAUAACCCGCUCAAACGCUUAGGCUUUACGUAAGUGGAGGACGAGUGAAGAACGUAGACGUCCUAUACCGCUUGGGUUUAAUCCAUCUCUCCGACUUGGUGAUAACCCGCUCAAGCGCUUAGGCUUUACGUAAGUGGAGGACGAGUGAAGAACGUAGACAUCCUAUACCGCUUGGGUUUGAUCCAUCUCUCCGACUUGGUGAUAACCCGCUCAAGUGCUGAGGCUUUACGUAAGUGGAGGACGAGUGAAGAACGUAGACGCCCUAUACUGCUUGGAUUUGAUCCAUCUCUCCGACUUGGUGAUAACCCGCUCAAGCGCUUAGGCUUUACGUAGGGGAAGACAAGUGAAGAUUGUUUCUCGAGACAUUCCACCUUUACCCCGCUCUUCAAACUUGUACAAGUAAGCUCCUUUUUUUUUGUUUUUUUUUUUGUUUUUUUUGUUUUUUUUUUGUUUUUUAUUUUUUGUUUUUAUUUUUUGUUUUUGUUUUUGUUUUUUUGUUUUUGUUUUGUUUUGUUUUGUUUUUUUUAAUGUAUGAAGUCACUAGCCUGAUACUGAAUAUUGUUUCAUGUUGCUCAUCUUAUACAGAUGGCCUUCUUCAAGUGUUUCAAGAAAGGCACCGUUACUAUUCUUGAGGAAGAAAGUGAUAGCUGGGACGAAGGUACCACAUUGCUUGUAGGUGCGCCUCUCCUAGCUUCGGAAGUAUCUAAGGUGGACAAUUAUCUUCAUAUUCCGUCUUGGUCUCAAGAGGUGUUUUGUCAACUUAGCAGCUUCAAAAAAUCCAAAUCUACAGAUAGGGACCUUCACUCCAUUGUUUUACAGUUAAAGUCCUCGCAUCAUACAGAGAUUGAUUCAUUAGGGGUGUUCGAACUUCUUAGCGAUCAAAUCCAUAAUGGGGCAGUGAAUUGAGGUUCUGUUCUUCCGAUGGCUGGUGAAUCUACAUUUACCGAGUAUUACUGGGAAUGGCUUGAAGAUUUGCUAAGUAGAAAUACCCAGGUUCUUAAGAGCGUCGGUCUAUAUAAUGCAGUGUUUGCCUCAUUAUUUAGCUAUGAUCGACACGCUCCAGUCAUUCGAGCCUUCUGCGAGUACUGAUGUCCUGCGACAAAUACUCUUCAUACAUCGCAAGGAGAAAUGUCUAUUUCCCUUUGGGAUCUUCAUGAAAUCGGCAGUCUCCCUAUUACAGGUUGAUUUUAUGAUGAGGUUAUUCCAACCACUAAGAGUCUCAACAGGAAGGACCAUAAAGGCGUGUCUUAUAUCCCACAUAUUUGUCGCUACUUGUUCUUAGCGUACCACAAAAUUUUACGAGACUCCAAAGGAAAAUCUGGAGUGAGAAUGACUGCUUGGAUAAAGUACUGGUAUCGAGGGUCAUUCAGGUAUAAAAAGUCUUUAAGGAAAACUGUACGGAACAAGUCACAAAAGCCAAAGGAAGACUCUGAUCCAUCUGGUAUCAUUGCGGCGGCACUGAAACUCACUGAGGAAGAGGAAGGGGUUUUUGAAGAUUUGGGUAUAGCUGAUGAAGACAUGGAUAGGUCCUACUUGGCUGCAUUCCUUGCUUGCUGGUUGUGCAAAUUUGUAUUUCCCAAAGACGACGUAACUUUGAUCAGACCAGGGGUUUUCAAAUUUGCCAGUCGAAUGGCGCACGGUGUAUCAUUUAGCCUAGCAGUUCCAGUAUUGGCCAGCAUUUACAAGGGGCUGAAUGAUAUUUCUAGUGCAGAUGAUUCAGGAAAUUGCACAACUGUUCUACCUUUCCAUUAUGUGUAUAGGUGGUUGGGUGAAUACUUCGACACAUAUUUUACAUCAUCUUCUGAGAAGUCCCUUCCCAUCAUGGCAAGGUUCUCAGGAAGACUUUCGGCGAAAUUUUAUGACAAUUCGACAGCUCGAGCUUUGUUCCGGACUUGUGGUAAAGUGAAAAUGAGUCGUCUAGCAAGAGUGUUUUCAGAAUGCAAACAACUGACUGAUGAAGAUCAUAUUUCUAAAGAAGACUUUGAGUAUUUGAUAUGUCUUCGUUCGGGAUUCGUUUCUCUACAACAGGAAAACUACCGAGUCAUCCAAUCUUAUAGCCCGCACCGGUUCAGUAGACAAUUUUGUUAUGUACAACAUGUGCCAGGAGAACUUAAAGAUGACGUCCGGAAUGGGACUGUGCUAUCAGUGUACUCACAUUGAAAAUCAUGCUUGAAGAUUGGCAGUGCAUCUACAAUAACCCUACCUACUAAGGACAAUAUUCGAGAGUUUGAGAUUACAUCCGAUUAUGUUAUUUGGUGGUCGAAGGUGCAUCACUUUGAAUCGACGAAAUCAAAGACAAUCUCAACUGUAGGCAAAUCGUCGUCACUUUCUCAGCCGAAAUCUCUUAAGUCUCAUGGCAAUGAAGUUUUAGUUCAUGAUAAACUCACUCGUGGUAGAGCGCUCCGAGUUCACCCAGAAGUUGAAGGUAGUUCUACUACUCGCGCACCUCGAGUUCAACACCCACCUCCAGUUGAUGUUCCUCCAACUCGAGUCCCUAAUGAUAAAGGAGAAACAGAAAGCGUAGCAGAUUCUCAAGAAGAUUUCAUUCCCCUCGGUCGACGAAUUCGCAAUUUGAAGCGAGGGCAUAUAAGUAGCAAUGAAGACAGUGAAGUCAACUUUAGGCAUAAGAAGACAAGCGUCGGACCUCUCUAUUGUGAUUUGGACGCGGCAUACCCACUUGAUGACAUAUUUUUUUGUGAUGUGCCCGCUGUUUCACAAUCGGUUCUAAUGAAUGAGGUAUGUAUUUUAUUUCGCCUUGAGCUUCCUCUUUUCUAUACAUAUAUAUAUUAAUUAAUUAAUUAAUUAUAUAUUUUAGGGAGAAGUAGUGCAUCAUGUCCCUACUGUGUCUGAGCUUGUACCAUUUAAUCAUUUGCCUGUCGAAGAGGAAGAUGAUGCUUUGUGCCCGAUAAGUGAUUCAGGUGUUAGCCUAAGAGGUACAAUGCCAAUCUUUAUCACGCUCCGUAUUUAGAAAUUUUUGAUUCUACUUGCUUAACCAUUACUCGUAGGUCAAUGUAGGUUUGCUUGCACAACAACAUUUAUUAAAGCCGGCUAAUUAUGCAUCCACUUCUGAAAUGUCAUGUGGGGAGCCCAAAUUAGGUGUUGCAGACAAAACCCUUCACAAAGUAAUCUCCGUUUUAGGAAACCAAGUAAAAAGCAUAAUCUUGAAGGCUUCAUUGGAAAGGCUUCCCUCAUUCAAAGAUGAGCUUAGCAAGUUGAUGACUACUCUUGACAAUGUAGGGGCGAAAGUCUCAUCUUUACAAGCUAUGAUCGAUGCACUUAUGGUGACUGCAGUUGACUAUCAUUCUGCACACUCUACUUACUCCCAAAAGCUAUCUCCCAAGGCUCAGAGCGAUCGUUUAGCCGCAGUUGACUCUUCACUUUCUAUUGCCUUGGCUCUGCAACAAGCUGAAGAAGUUCAUCAGUCUUCUAUACUUCUGUCUAUUCAAUCUGCCAAUACGCGUAUGGAGGAGUUGAAGAGGGAACAAGAACAAUUGGAGUUAAGAUUGCUUCAACUAAACGGAUCACUUUUAGAGAGUGAUGCACAACUUUCUUAUCAUCAUGGUGAAGUCACCCGCUUGAGAGAGGAUAAGACUGCGGUUGAAGGAGCUCCUGUACUAUCAGCUGCAGAUGCCGAUACUUUAGAUACAUUACGAGUUUCCUUUAAGAGACCGCGUAACGGCUUCAAGGAUUUGUCUUGGGAAUAGCAAAUUCUGUUGUUGUAAACUCUCUUUGCUUUAUUAUAUUUCUCUUUGAACUUGUCAAAGUGUUGAUGCUUACUAAUUAACUUUCAUGAUGAAAUAAAAGCAUUUUCUUAUUUCAUCAUUUUUUUGAAUGGUUCGGAUUGAUGGAAGAAACCCUUUGUUUUUAUUUUGAUGUGACUGAACUUGGAAUUAUUUGUCCAAGCUGCCUACAUACCCUCGAUGAAAAGGGAUCAAGUCAUCAUGUAGUUCAAGGGAAUUUUUUUUUUGUGUCCUAACUUUUGCUUGAACCGCCCUUUUGGGUUUUCAGUUCAAUGGACUUUCUUGUGCUCCAAUUUUUUGCUUAAACCGCCCUUUCGGGUUUUCAAUCCAACGAGCCACUUCUUUUCUUUUUUUUUUUGGCGGGUGCCGUACGCAAUUUAGGCUCAUGCGGGCCAGGAGCUGGCAGUCACUUCAUGCAUAGUAUCGUUUCAAGAAUUUUUCGUUGAUAGGGCGAAUUCUUAAACCAUCCUCCGCUACAAUCUUGUAAACGCCACUUGUGUAUACUUCUUGUACUACGUAGGGCCCAUCCCAUUUCGAAGUAAACUUGCUUUCGGUUUUGUGUGUUGUGAUGAUAGGUCUACGUAAUGCGAGGACGAGAUCUCCCACCUGAAAAGAUCUGGGGUGUACUUUCUUGUUAAAAGCAUUUGAAAGCCGAGCUUGAUAACACUCUAAGCGUUUUUGCGCUUCGAGUCUCUUUUCAUCUAGUGCUUCUAACUCUUGGGGACGUAACUUCGCAUUCUCUUCAUCAGUCAAUCCCUCUUGUAUGGCCAUCCUCAAUGAUUGAAGUUGACUUUCUAGAGGCAAGACUGCUUCCACGCCAUACACGAGUGAGUAUGGUGUAGCCUGAGUAGGCGUCCGGUAUGUCGUCCGAUAAGCCCACAAUGCUUCAUUUAUCAUUUCAUGCCAAUCUUUCUUGGUUCUUCCAACAACUUUCUUUAACAGGCUGCGAAGAGUUUUGUUGAACGCUUCCACAAGAUCGUUGGCUGGGGCAUUGUACAUUGAAGAGUUGCUUUGUUUGAAACCAAAGUCUCCACACAAUUUAUUCAUCAACCGAUUCGAGAAUGGCUUUCCAUUAUCUGUGAUGAUGUAGCGUGGCACACCAUACCGAUUAAUGAUGUUUACCUUGAUGAAGCUCACUACAUUUUCUUUCUUCACUUCCUUUAGAGGCACAACUUCCGCCCAUUUUGAGAAGUAGUCUGUGGCUGCAAGGAUGUAAGAAUGACCGUCGAAAGAUUUAGGUGCUAUUGGUCCCACCACAUCAAGACCCCACGCAUCAAAUGGCCAUGAAGUAAUUGUAGGAUGUAGCGGCUCCGGCAGUUGGUGGAUAAAGUUGGCAUGGAAUUGACAUACUUGGCAUUUCUUCACAUAAUCCAUGCAAUCCUUGACCAUAAUCGGCCAAUAAUAGCCCAUCCUUUUUAUUUGGAAAUGUAGCUUUGGCCCUGAUUGAUGUGCUCCACAAAUUCCUGAGUGAGCCUCCUCCAUUGCUUUGAAUGCAUCUUCUUCGUCCAAGCAUCUUAGAAAUACGCCUUCAAAUGAACGACGGUAGAGAAUUUCUUUGUAAUAAAUGAAUCGAGGUGCCCGACGUCGUACCUCUGAUCGAUGUCUUGAAUCAUCUGGCAGUUUUCUAUGCUCAAGAUAAUCAAUUAAAGGUUGUCUCCAGUCGUCAACGUCAAUGGACAGUACCGAGAUAACGUUGACUCCUUCUUGCGAUGUCCCAAGCGUUAAUGGAACUACCCAACGUUGGCAAACUGGAAGAUUUAUUGCUUCAUCUUUUGUCAAUGCCAAUGUAGCGGCAAGGUUGGCUAAGACAUCUGCCAUUUGGUUAUCUUUUCUUGGCACAUGCUCCAGCGUCACAAAAUCAAACCUUUCUAGUAAUUGCGUGGCUAAUUGGUGGUAUGGAAUUAGAUCAUCCUUUCUAACUUCGUAGUGAGUCAACAUUUGGUUGAUCACUAACAUGGAGUCACCAUAUACUUCUAGGCUCGAUAUCUUCAUCUCGAUGGCCAUUUGUAAGCCCAUGAUCAAAGCUUGGUAUUCUGCAACGUUGUUCGAGCAAAGUUCACUUAAGGAGAAUGAAUAGGGCAAUACGUGUCUCUCGGGUGAUACGAAGACUACGCCAGCCCUCGCCCCGUCUUUACGAGCCGAUCCAUCAAAGAACAUCAUCCAAGCAGGAGAAACGUCAGCGAAGAAGACUUGUUGGUCGGGUAAGUCAUCUGAAAUUUCCCAGUCUGCUGGAAUUGGAUGAUUGGCUAGGAAGUCUGCAACAGCUUGCCCUUUAACCGCCUUUGCUGUAGUGUAGAUGAUUUCAUACUGAUUGAGAAGUAACGCCCACUUGGCCAAACGCCCCGUCAAAACUGGUUUUGACAUAACGUACCUCACCGGGUCAGCUCGUGCAAUUAGAUGGACCUUGAAUGCUUGCAUGUAGUGCCUUAACUUUUGGAUAGCAAAAACAAGUGCACGACACGUCUUUUCUAUAGGCGUGUAGUUUAGUUCGGGACCAGUAAGCGUUCGGCUUAGAUAGUAGAGUGCUUGCUCUUUGUGUGACUCAUUCUUUUGGGCUAAAAGGGCUCCAAUUGACCUUUCUUGAGCCGCAAUAUACAAUUUGAGUUGUUUGCCAGGAAUAGGAGCUCCUAACAGUGGUGAACUCGAUAGGUACUUCUUUAUGCUUUCAAAGGCAUUGUGACAAGCUUCAUCCCAAACAAAUGGAACAUCCUUUUUCAUAAUGCGACUGAAUGGCUGACACCUCCCUGCUAAGUUUGAGAUGAAGCGCUGAAUAAACGCGAGGCGUCCUUGUAAACUUUUCAACUCACGUAAAUUUCUUGGCUCUGGCAUAUCUCGGAUGGCUUUAAUCUUAGUCUGAUCUACUUCGAUGCCUCGAUGUUUAACGAUAAAACCAAGGAAUUUACCUGACAUGACGCUGAAAGCACACUUCAAAGGGUUCAUCUUGAGUUGGUACUUCCGCAAUAUGUUAAACACCGUUCUCAAAUCUUUCAAGUGAUCUUAUCUUCUUUUUGACUUGAUCACCAAGUCAUCAACGUAGCACUCGACAUUCUUGUGAAGCAUGUCACCAAAGAUCUUUGCAUUGCAUGUUGAUAGGUUGCACUGCAUUUUUGAGGCCAAAUGGCAUCACUUUGUAACAGUAAAUUCCUUUUGGAAUGCGGAAGGCUGUGAGUUUUUCGUCCUCUGGCGACAUUCUUAUUUGAUUGUAUCCAGAUGAACCAUCCAUGAAAGAUAAUGCUUCAUGACCUGUGGUUGCAUCGACCAUGAGCUCAAUUAUGGGCAAUGAAAAGUCAUCCUUUGGGCAAGCCUCGUUUAAGUCUCGGAAGUCAACACAAAUACGAAUUUGUCCAGUGAUUUUCUUCUUCAUCGGAACAAUGUUCGCUAUCCACAUCGGGUAUUUCACCUCCUUAAUAAAUCCGGUGGCGAUCAACUUGUCAACUUCGGCUUCGAUUUGACUUAGGAGCUCCAGACGGAAGUGACGUUGAAUUUGUUUGAUUGGACGUGUUCCAGGUUUGACUGCUCAUCUUUUCUUGGUAUGGCCUGGCCAGUUAAGUGAACCUCAACAGGAAUAACUUCAGAUGCCACGUCUUCAUCGAUGUAGAACUUGGCGUCGGCAAAAUAGGAUUCGGCUUCGGUAAAUGGCUUGACAUCACCUAGGAUUUUCUUCACUCCACCUCUGUAAAAUUUGAAACAUUGAUGUAAAGUUGAAGGUACUAUCCCAUUUUCAUGUACCCACGACCUUCCUAAGAGAAGAUUGUAGGAAGUUUUAGCAUCAAUCACGUGAAAUAAGGUGUUUGACUUUAAGUCACCUAUCACGAGCUCAUUUCUGAUAAUGCCCAUGGCUCUUUGCCCUCCUUGAUUGAAGCCUUGAAUCAUGAGACGACUUCGAGACAAUUCAUCCACGGUGAUGCCUAACUUUAUCAUUGUGGAUUUAGGCUUUAUGUUUACUGCUGAACCUUCAUCCACGAGCAUGCGACUAAGUUUCUGUUCUCGUACAUACCCGAACACGAAAAGCGGACGGUUGUGUGGUUUGGACCCUAACAAAAGAUCUUCAUCGGUGAAUGUGAUGGAAGCACAUGUCGCACAACAGAUAACACGGUCUUAAGACUCAGGCUCUAAUUUUUUGGCCUCUCUUAUUUGAUUUGGAUGAAUAUUGACUUCCAUCAACGUCUUUACCAAUGAUAUGUGUAUUGCUUCAGGAAGUUCCACCACUUCCUCAAUAUUGAAGUGCGAUGGUGAAUCUUCUACCUGUGUUAGGACCUUUUGCUCUUCAUGAGUUUCAGAUCUUCCUUUCGAGGCAUCUUCGUCAUCUACUUGAUAGCAAGUUGUCAUAUGAACAGUCUCCGUUGGUCCUCUUACGAAGAACAUUUUGGGAAAGUAUACUUCUAGCGUAAUUGGAAUUCGUGGUUCUUGGAUUAGUGGUCCACUUUCUUGGCCAGAAUCUCUCUUCACCAUUAUUCUGGUUUUGGUUUUAGAGCGUUUGUGCGAACUCCUUUUUCGCCGCUCCCUUUUUGAUUGAGUAUUUUGUUGUUGAGGAAUGCGCUUCGUACGAGGUUUCCGCCGGGUAACGAGCGUCCAUCCUUCAUUGUCAUCGAAAGAUGAGUCACCAACGAAGCCAUCACCACCUUGAUUGUUCGGUUUGCCCGCCACUUCUUUUGUACACGGAUCAGUCACUUGGUGUAUGCCCCUUGUUGAUUGGAAUUCCAAUCUUUUCGACAAUGCGGGCAGCGGCACCGGAUCGAAAGAUUCAAACACAAUUGUGGCAACGUUCGCGUCUGCGAUUUUGUCAACGUCCAACUCAAUCCUUCUUUGCCUAGCCAAGUUCAUAAUUAGCUCCUUCAACACGAAGCACUUCUCUACCGGAUGGCUGACAAUUCGGUGGUAUUUGCAAAACUUAGGGUCGUUGACUCGGUUCAUCUCUUCAGGCAGCUUACAUUCCGCCAAUUCGAUCACCUUUUUUUCAAGCAAGUCCUCGAGCAUACCUGCGACAUCGGAGUCAGGGAAGGGGUAUGGUUUUUUCCUCUAACUCCUUCAAAGUGCGUCGACGUCUAUCCACUUCUCGAGAUGGCUCCAUCCUUUUAACUUCUUUCUUCUUGUCUCAGGUGGAGAUUUUGACGGGGACGGUGUUUAUUGUUAUUGCUUCCUUGGUAGGCUUCUUGACAGGCUUAUCUGUCUUUUAUCUAAAGACUUUCUCCUUUCUUUGCUCCAUGACGGGCUCAUGCUUUCCUCCGUGACUAGCUAUACAUAACUCCAUAUCAUGGGCACGAGUGGCUAGCUCCUCAAACGUGUGGGGUUUAAUUCCUUGUAGAAUGUAAAGUAACCCCCAAUGCAUCCCUUGAAUACACAUCUCAACCGCCGAUAACUCCAAAAGCCCAUCUUUGCAAUCCAGGCUUAACGAGCUCCAUCGAUUGAUGUAAUCGACGACAGGUUCAUCUUUCCAUUGCUUGGUAUUUGUGAGUUCCAUCAUACUCACAGUGCGACGAGUGCUAUAGAAUCUGUUCAAGAAUUCUCGCUCCAUCUGAUCCCAACUGUCAAGGGAAUCGAGCUCCAAGUCUAUAUACCAAUCAAAUGCAUUUCCUUUCAAGGAACAAACAAAUUGUUUCACCAGGUGGUCACCCUCUGUCCCGGCAUUAUUGCAUGUUUCGACGAAGUGUGCAACAUGUUGUUUUGGGUUGCCCUUUCCAUCGAACUGUUGGAAUUUGGGAGGUUGAUAUCCUGUUGGCAUCCGCAAGUUGUCUAUCCUCCUGGUGUAUGGCUUAGAAUACAUGAGCGUAUCUCGGGAAGGUGCUCCGUAUUGAACCUUGAUGGUGUUUGCGAUCAUGUCCUGAAGUUGUUGGACCGACAAAGAACCCACUGAGGCGGCGUCAACUUUUCCGUGUGACUUCUCACCCAACUUUGUUUCAUGACCCAAUCCUUUCUCGCUGGAUUCAGCCUCAUGAUGUGGUCCUUUCUUGUGUGCGUCUUGACUAGGCUCCUUAUCCUGAUGCACUUCCCACUUGUUGAUGAGAGAAGCAAUCUGCGCUUCCUUCUCCUCGACCAUCUUAGUCAGUUUCGUGACCGCUUUCGCUCAUAUGGGCCAGCUGUUCUUCAAUAGACAUAGCUCCCGUCACCAUGACCUGCAUAGCCAUAGAAUAAGACUCACCUACGGAUGCCGAGGUAAGCUUCUUCUGUUGAUCGUCAGGCGAAGAUCCAUGGUGUGGUCCUUUCUUGUGUGCGUCUUGACUAGGCUCCUUAUCCUGAUGCACUUCCCACUUGUUGAUGAGAGAAGCAAUCUGCGCUUCCUUCUCCUCGACCAUCUUAGUCAGUUUCGUGACCGCUUUCGCUCAUAUGGGCCAGCUGUUCUUCAAUAGACAUAGCUCCCGUCACCAUGACCUGCAUAGCCAUAGAAUAAGACUCACCUACGGAUGCCGAGGUAAGCUUCUUCUGUUGAUCGUCAGGCGAAGAUCCAUGGUAUGAGCCUGUGCUCGAGUCAGCGUCUGAAACAUGCGAGAGUGAGCGUUCUCUCGAAUUCUUCGAACCCAAAAAACUCCUCCCUUCACUCCGAGAGUUUCUCUCAUCCGCCCGAGAAGUAUUCUUCUUUUGCCCCAAUGAGGCCAAAUUGAUAACCGGUUUGCGCCUUCGGUGAACAUCUCUCGCCUUGGCUUGAGUCGGUAUGGAAGUAACAUGUUGAGUUGCGGAUAUCGCCUUGGCCUUGCUCCGGGUGAUGACCCCAGCAGAAUCUCCACUUGAGAAGGAGGCGCUCAUGCUUUUGCCUCUCGUCGUGGGAACAGAUUGAAUCUUCUUGGAAGCCAUCGUUUUUUGUGUGUUGAUUGAUUUUGGAACUGGAGAAAGAGAUGAGAGGCAGAGAUGGUCCCACUGGGCGUGCCAAAUUUGUAAACACGAAUUUCCUGCGACAAAUGAGACAAGAACACGUGUACAAAAUAAUAUUGUAUUAAUGAAAUUUAGGUUUACAGUCUCUGUAUUGAAUCCUUUGAUUCGAUCUCCAUGGUGUUUAAAGAAAAUAUGUGUUUGAUACAAGGGUCGUAGAGACUUGAUCUUGAUCAAACGGGUUGCACGAAGCUUGUUUAGUGUUUGGGAUUUUUUUAUGGUGAAGGAACAUGCAUGUAUUUGUUGUGCUUGAUGGCUCUUCCAAAGUAGGGUGAAGAAUGCAAAGAGUUUUCUGUUUGUUUUGAGUUCUAGGUUUUUUUCGACCCCUUCUUUCGUCUUGAGGCCUCCUAUUUAUAGGCUCUUGUAGGAUGCUUGGCCUAAAUAACUUUUCCUAUUUAAAACCUUGUUUUGUGGGAUUUUGAUUUGAUUUAAAUCAAUUCCCAUAAUCUGGCAAUUUAACCAGAUUAUCUUCAAUUGAUUGACCUGAUUCAUAUUUGAUUUAAAUCAAAGUCAAUCACAGAAGAUUCUUUCCUUUAAUCUUGUCUUCAUCUUGAACCGUUUGAUGUACUCCGUCGGAUGUCGCCAUGUGUCAUUUUUUGACAACUAAUCCGAUUUUGAUAAGUCACACGCCACAUGGACUAAUUACGGGACCCACGAUUUAAUCCACUGAACCCUAAUUAUUUUCUUGUCCAAUGGAAUUUAUUGCACCAAAAUUUCUUUGUCUACAACAUGUUAAGAGCAAAAGAUGUCGUCUUGCUCCUGAACAUCCAUGGGUUAUGCUAUGUUCUCAUCCCUUCUUCAACAUACAUCAUUGCUUUUUAAGUCUAAGUGAUUGGAAAGUUCAUAAAUUGCUUUUUAAGUCUAAAUAAUUUAUCUUGUUUGAUAUGGAUCCAUAUCUAAUGUGGGAAAGAGAGAGAAAAGAAGGUGUUUCUUGCGGCGGGGAGGAGGGGGUUCGCCGGAGUGGUUGGGUGUUUUUUUUUUUUUUUUGGGGGUCUGAUUUUUGUUUUAUCUUUUAGAAUUAGUUUUGACCCCAAAAAAAAAAUCUUUAAGAAUUAGUUUUUGUGUUUUCCACAUUGAUAAAAGAAACAGGAGAAUUGGACUGGUUUAUCAAGGGAAAAUAUGGAAACACAAUUAAUAUUUUUUCUGUAAUUAAAAACAUUGAUUUAAGUGAAAGAGAAGUGACACGUGUCAUGAAGAGAAGAGAGAAUGUCUAAAAGAGAAGGUUAGAGAGAAGAUUGCUAACAUUCCUCUUUGAGCUAAUUGUUUAGAUUGAGUCUUUGUUUGAUUGGUC